Molecule: ribosomal RNA, 254 nt
Filed under: uncultured bacterium
Lineage: Bacteria
Description: partial 16S ribosomal RNA
Rfam family: Bacterial small subunit ribosomal RNA
Source: RNAcentral
GACGAACCGUGCGAACGUUGUUCGGAAUCACUGGGCUUAAAGGGCGCGUAGGCGGUCUGCCAAGUCCGGGGUGAAAGCCCCCAGCUCAACUGGGGAAGUGCCUUGGAUACUGGCGGACUUGAGGGAGGCAGGGGUUGUGGGAACUUCCGGUGGAGCGGUGAAAUGCGUUGAUAUCGGAAGGAACGCCGGUGGCGAAAGCGACGUGCUGGACCUCUUCUGACGCUGAGUGCGCGAAAGCUAGGGGAGCAAACGGG